This 491-nucleotide ribosomal RNA is filed under the name uncultured bacterium. Its description in RNAcentral is "partial 16S ribosomal RNA". It matches the Rfam family "Bacterial small subunit ribosomal RNA", at positions 29 to 506 of the family's 1533-position model. The record is from RNAcentral.
AGUGAACGCUGGCGGUAGGCCUAACACAUGCAAGUCGAACGGCAGCACAGUAAGAGCUUGCUCUUACGGGUGGCGAGUGGCGGACGGGUGAGGAAUACAUCGGAAUCUACUUUUUCGUGGGGGAUAACGUAGGGAAACUUACGCUAAUACCGCAUACGACCUACGGGUGAAAGCAGGGGAUCUUCGGACCUUGCGCGAUUGAAUGAGCCGAUGUCGGAUUAGCUAGUUGGCGGGGUAAAGGCCCACCAAGGCGACGAUCCGUAGCUGGUCUGAGAGGAUGUUCAGCCACACUGGAACUGAGACACGGUCCAGACUCCUACGGGAGGCAGCAGUGGGGAAUAUUGGACAAUGGGCGCAAGCCUGAUCCAGCCAUACCGCGUGGGUGAAGAAGGCCUUCGGGUUGUAAAGCCCUUUUGUUGGGAAAGAAAAGCAGCAGGUUAAUACCCCGCUGUUCUGACGGUACCCAAAGAAUAAGCACCGGCUAACUUCGU